UACGUAGGGGGCUAGCGUUGUCCGGAAUCAUUGGGCGUAAAGCGCACGUAGGCGGACUCUUAAGUCGGUGGUGAAAUCCCGAGGCUCAACCUCGGAACUGCCUUUGAUACUGGCGAUCUUUGAGUCCGGGAGAGGUGAGUGGAACUCCGAGUGUAGAGGUGAAAUUCGUAGAUAUUCGGAAGAACACCAGUGGCGAAGGCGGCUCACUGGCCCGGUACUGACGCUCAUGUGCGAAAGCGUGGGGAGCAAACAGG
Molecule: ribosomal RNA, 254 nt
Filed under: uncultured bacterium
Lineage: Bacteria
Description: partial 16S ribosomal RNA
Rfam family: Bacterial small subunit ribosomal RNA
Source: RNAcentral